AAGGAGAAUUGCCUACUGUUUAAUUUUGAGGGUUCGUUUUUACGAAUACUCAAAAGUAGCACUUUAAGCAACAGAAUAAACUGAACGCAUGUGAAGUUUGUUUGUUGGCGCUGUGUGUUAGCACUUUAAGCAACGUGAUUUAUCCGUUGGCGCUGUGCAUUAGCACUUUAAGCAACGGAAUUUAUUCGUUGGCGCUGUGCAUUAGCACUUUAAGCAACGGAAUUUAUUCGUUGGCGCUGUGCAUUAGCACUUUGAAAACUGCAUAUAUAUAUUUAGUGAUAUGACAUCUAAUUUGUAAUAUAUAAAGCUGAUAACUUUUUAAAAUUAUCGAAGUUGAUAGCUUCUAAUCUAUCAAACCUUUUUAAC
This 366-nucleotide unclassified non-coding RNA is filed under the name Clostridioides difficile. RNAcentral describes it as "16S-23S ribosomal RNA intergenic spacer". Lineage: Bacteria; Bacillati; Bacillota; Clostridia; Peptostreptococcales; Peptostreptococcaceae. The record is from RNAcentral.